Molecule: ribosomal RNA, 200 nt
Filed under: uncultured archaeon
Lineage: Archaea
Description: partial 16S ribosomal RNA
Rfam family: Archaeal small subunit ribosomal RNA
Source: RNAcentral
CGGGAAAUCCACUCGCCUAACGAGUGGGCGUCCGGCGGAAACUACAGGGCUUGGGACCGGAAGACUUGAGGGGUACGUCUGGGGUAGGAGUGAAAUCCUGUAAUCCUGGACGGACCGCCGAUGGCGAAAGCACCUCAAGACGACGGAUCCGACAGUGAGGGACGAAAGCUAGGGUCUCGAACCGGAUUAGAUACCCGGGU